Cavia porcellus (domestic guinea pig) is the source of this 420-nucleotide long non-coding RNA. RefSeq lists it as uncharacterized. The record is from RefSeq and is a predicted model, not a curated record. Lineage: Eukaryota; Metazoa; Chordata; Mammalia; Rodentia; Caviidae. The transcript has 2 exons.
CUGAGGUUGCACAAUCCUGCAUUCUUAUAAAUACAGAUGCACUACAGCCUCUGGGAGUCUCUGCGGACCCAGCUGUGGAGAAAUUUUCUCCCCACUUCAGCAUCCGAGCCAGCCUGCAGGUCACCAUGAGGACUCCUUGCUUUCUGCUGCUCAUGUGCUGCCUCCUCCUCUCUCAGAUCUCACCCGGUACUGGCCUCCUCGCAGGUCUCCAGCAAAAAGCGGAUGAGACUGAAUGCAGUGAAAACGGAGGAUACUGUACCAUUUACAAUUGCCCUAACUUUUCCAAAUAUAUUGGUACCUGUUUCAGUGGGAAGGCCAAGUGCUGCAAAUGAGCUGAGAGAAAAAUGUGGGAGUCGUGAAGAAAGCUUUCAGUCACUGUUUUAACUUUAAAAAGAUUUAAUGAAAUCUUUUUGGAAGCAA